This 131-nucleotide unclassified non-coding RNA is filed under the name uncultured Sporobolomyces. RNAcentral's name for it is "sequence contains ITS1". Lineage: Eukaryota; Fungi; Basidiomycota. The record is from RNAcentral.
GUGAAUUUAGGGUCGACUCUGCAAAGAGAAAGCCCGACUUACACUUUUUUUCAUACACCUGUGCAUUUGAAACCCUUUUUUAACACUUGUGUUAACCUAAAGUCAUUUGAAUCAAUGUUAAAACGAAAGUA